This is a long non-coding RNA of Lepidothrix coronata (blue-crowned manakin), 738 nucleotides long. RefSeq lists it as uncharacterized. The record is from RefSeq and is a predicted model, not a curated record. Lineage: Eukaryota; Metazoa; Chordata; Aves; Passeriformes; Pipridae. The transcript is spliced from 3 exons.
UAAGUGAUGUCAUCAGGUCAUGAAAAAAGGAAGACAGGCUCAGCUGCAGUGUCUGAAGGCUCUCUGGAAAGAAGGAAGUUGAAGCCAGACAGGUAAGAUUGGGAAAGGGUUGUACUAUUUUAUCUUUUUCAUUUGCAGUUGCUGGAGUUGGGUUUGAUUUGCAAGGAGUAGAGAUGGUAAAAUGUGUUCAGUGACUGGCAGAAAAAAGGCUCCAACAGUAGAGGUUCAAUACUUACAGUCAGAAUGGAGAGGGCACAAAUGCCUCGGUAUAAAAUAACUUUAUUCAUUUGGGAAAAAAAUGUGGGUUGUAUUCAGUUUCUUUGAGUUUUUACAGCAAAACUUUUUACUUUUCUAGAACUAAAACAUAUUGGUUUAGUUUUGUUCCCUGUCAGCCUUGGAGUAGUUCAAGACCGAAAGACUGAAAGAGCAAAUUGAAAAAAAUGUUUUCCCACCUUCUUCUUACCUUUUGACCUUUUUGGAGAAGAAAAGCAAAGCGUGUCUCGAGUUGAGACACCAAAGAGAUGAGCUGUGUGAGAAAGAGACACCAAGAGAACAGAGGAGGCCACUGGAUUUUCAGUGAAGACAGAAGAAAAGCUGAGGAUCCAGAUACAGGAAGGUGGUGUUAACUAAAGUUACAACUGGUGUGACUGCAAAGAAGGGAGAGAAAAGGAGAAAAUGAGAUGCUCCAUUAGAAAACACCAUUCAGAAGUGACAGAUUAAGCUACUUGAAAUGGAGGC